UGGAUCUGGUUUAACAACUGGUUCACUAAGCGCGUGUGAGCAGUUUGGAGAAAACUCACCUUUCGCAUUACUGCCUGCAAGGAAAACAGCUGAGGCGUGGCAAUCCACUCUGCUGAGCCGAUCAGCAGGGCUUCAGAAAUGUAGUUUCAGGCCUGGAUUGCAGGAUGGCUGGCUCCCAGUUCGGUCUGGUUCUAUAGAACCGGUAGUAAAACCGGCGGGAAGCUCCGCCCACCCACCAUGACAUCAUCAUGGGUGAUAUGUGCAUGUGCAGAAGCGCGUUCGCAUGCGUGUUCCCGCUGUGAACUGGUAGUAAAGCUACAAUCUCUAGCAGAAGCCCUAGCAAUAGGCAUUUUUUCCUGGAGACUGGAAAUAAACAAUGGCUUUUGGAAAAAAAUGUCCUCAUCCAUGCUCGUGACUGCGGAAUGCUGCAAACUGCUGUAAAUGAAGUCUGGUUGCCAAGCACCCAAAAUAUGAUCACAUGACUGUGGGGGCCUCCAGCUGUUGGAACUUUGAAUCUGGAUUUACUGGACUCUUGUACUGGACUCUAUGGCUAUGCCCUUUUCAUGGAAAAGAGCCUUCUCUGCCAUGGCUCCUGCCCUUUGGAACAUCUUACCCCUCCAGAGUGAGAUAUGCUCCUUCUGACCUUCUAUAAAGACCUGAAAUGGUUCCAAUUGUUGUAUACAUGUUUGACUUAAGCAGUGAAGUUGUUUGAUAUUUUGCAUAUUCUCCACAGAUCAACAGAAAUCAUAAUUAUAUUCUUUUGAUUUUUAAGAUAGGACUAGGUUACCAGCUGGGGACAUAGCUAAUUCCUUCAACCCCUCAAAUCACCCGAAAUCUCAUUGCAUCUUGUCCAAGAAUGCCAAAAAUCAUACGACCUCUUGUACAAAAGCUUGGGAUUGCUAUUAGACUUAAGGCAAGAUCUUUUGAACAUUACAAAAUUGGACAAAUAUAAACUGUUAUAACGUUUAAUGUAUAGAUGAUGAGGAUUGUGAUGCCAAUUUCUGCUUUCUGUUCUAAAACAGAAAUUGGCUACCGCAGUGGAAGAAACUUGCUCAAUGAAAACGAACAGGGUCAGAACUGUGAGGCAUUUGGGAUAGUACAUUUUCCAUAGUGGAGAAUGCGAAGCUUGAUUUAAUUGUGCAUUAUGUGCUGUCUGUAUUUUUUUUAAAAAAAACAUGUCCUGCGCUGACCUUGCAAGAGCAACAUAUAUCCUUGUGAACACUUGGCUUGAUUAAUCGUCUCAUUGAUCACAAGGCUUUUGAUAGGGCUGUCCUGUUGCUGGCAGCUGUUUUUGGAGUACUUGGCACACUUCCUCAUUGAUUUGUGCUAUCAUGAUCAUAUUAUGCUUGCCCAGCAUUCUUUACAAAGGUGACGUAUAAAGUAGUGGGUCAACAUUAAAUUGGCACUCCUGGAUGUUAAAAAACCUUGAAUUAUGUUGACCCUGGCAACAUUCAAUGCUUGCUCAUUCAGCCCCAAGCUAAUAAAAAUCUAUAUUCACAUCACACCAGCCAUUUAAAAGACCUUGCAAUGAAUCAUACUCUCUGUAUGCUAAACUUAUGUUCUUGUUACACCUUUCUUUAUUCUUAAGUUAGUAACCUGUCUAGGAAAACAUUUUAAUGUAAAAUAUUUAGCACCAAAUAUAUCUUGUUCAGGGUAAAGGUUUAUCCCAGGCUUCUCACCCUGGGUCUCUCCAGUGAUUUUUAUUACAGGCCCUCCUGAUAUUAUAUUACUAUUCCCCUCAUCUGCAGCCACCAUUGUUGUAUCUGAAACAUCCUGGAGUCUCAGGUAAUGGAUGGCUGGUCUUUCUCAUCUAGCAUUCUGAUUCUAACAAAGGUCAGGCAGAGUCCUCUGAAAAUUCACCUGAAAGAUGUAAAGGCUAUACUUCUCUUUUAGUGCCUGCUUUUUAGGAAUAUACUAGCUUUGCACUUGGUGGCUUUUUCUACCUGAAAAAAUGAAUCAUUACAAUGGAUUUUUUAAAAGAGAAAGUGGCUUUAGGUUUGACUAUAAUUAACAUUUUUAAAACUUUCUGCACUGAUAUAGCUUGAGCUACCCUGCACUUAAUUUGGGCUCAUCUGAACCUUGAAUGAAUGAGAGUGAUUAGCAGUUCUAUCUCUAGCAACAGAUAAAACCCAUGAGCAGUUGUGCAAUCAAACUUGGGAAAACAGUUCUAAGAAUUUGCAUUCAUCUUUUUUCCCUGCAUAAUAUAGAUUCCUGUUUAGCCGGCAAUAUUAAAAAUACUUUUGGUCCUGUUCAUAUUAUAUAUAGUUUUAAGAAGCAAUCAGAAUGUACACAAAAUUGUCUCUAAUGUCUGGCAAUCACAGGGACCCAUAAUUGUUUGACACCAAGAACAAAAAUUAAUAGGUGAAAGUUCAGUUGUUUUACCUUACUUUUCUAUCUUGAUUCAGUUUGCAGAAAUAUUUGCAAUCUCUUAAUGCCACACCUAGUUUAUUAACCCAUUUGUGAUUACAGAGAGCCAGAAGGACUACAAAGACAUAAGAUGAAACCGAAUGCUUUAAAAUAAAUAAGCAACCCACAGACCAAGUUACUUGCUAAUAGAGAAUAAUUCUAACCUUUCUAAUUUUCAAGGAAAUAAAGGACGAAAGAAUAUUAGGAGUCUACAGAGGAUGGGGUAAUUAAGGAAAAAUUACUUUUUCAUGGUGUUAUAAUGGAAGCAUCCUAAGAACGGAAUCUGUUUCAAUUACCACUUUCCAAAAAAAGGAAACCAAGUUUCCCAAGUUUGGUUUGAACUUCACAGAAAACUUGCAAAACCUCAUGGCAAUGUUUGUAACUUCUCUGCAACCAAUUAACUUCUCCAGCAACCUUUAUUAAUCAAUCCUAAAAGUUAACUAGAAAGAAAAAAAAACACUUUGGGCAAGUGGCGGGUGCCUGGAAACUAUAAGGGCUGCAUAUGGAGAAACCAGCUGCAAUUCAAGCCUAGAAAGAUGGAGUGGUUGCAGGUUUUUGCAUUGUCUUGGCAAAAUUCAGGAACAGAAAGAUCCUUUCACUGGAAGAAAGAUGAGAUGACUAAUAACCAUAGUCGCCCAGGUGUGAGAUCAGCUGUAAACAGCCUUUCUCUAUGUUAGUCAUCAUCAUCAAACCACAGAAGAAGCUUCUGUUCCUGGCCUCCAGAUGGGGAUUGAAAAAUGGAAAGAAGGCAGAAGACUUGGCUCCAUUCAGAAACAUUGAUUAGAAAACUGCAAAUGUAACAGAAUUUGUAACUUUUCACAUUGUGAAGUAAUAAACAUAUAUCAACCAAAGAUGAUAAAAUCAAACAUUUAUGUGUCCCAUUUAUUUAGUUACAGUGCCUGGAAACCAUAAGGGCUGCAUAUGGAGAAACCAGCUGCAACUGAAGCUUACCAAGA
Long non-coding RNA from Ahaetulla prasina, 3362 nucleotides. RefSeq lists it as uncharacterized. The transcript has 8 exons. The record is from RefSeq and is a predicted model, not a curated record. Lineage: Eukaryota; Metazoa; Chordata; Lepidosauria; Squamata; Colubridae.